CGAAAGCCUGACGGAGCAACGCCGCGUGGGGGAGGAAGGCCCUUGGGUUGUAAACCCCUUUUCUCAGGGAAGAAACCUGACGGUACCUGAGGAAAAAGCCUCGGCUAACUCCGUGCCAGCAGCCGCGGUAAUACGGAGGAGGCAAGCGUUAUCCGGAAUUAUUGGGCGUAAAGCGUCCGCAGGUGGCGAUUCAAGUCUGCUGUCAAAGCACGGGGCUUAACUCCGUUAAGGCAGUGGAAACUGAAUGGCUAGAGUGCCGUAGGGGUAGAGGGAAUUCCCGGUGUAGCGGUGAAAUGCGUAGAGAUCGGGAAGAACAUCGGUGGCGAAAGCGCUCUACUGGGUCGCACCUGACCCUCAGGGACGAAAGCUAAGGUAGCG
Molecule: ribosomal RNA, 378 nt
Filed under: uncultured cyanobacterium
Lineage: Bacteria; Bacillati; Cyanobacteriota
Description: bacterial SSU rRNA
Rfam family: Bacterial small subunit ribosomal RNA
Source: RNAcentral